RNAcentral lists this transfer RNA (88 nucleotides) under Alosa alosa (allis shad). RNAcentral's name for it is "tRNA-OTHER". It matches the Rfam family "tRNA". Rfam says of the family: Transfer RNA (tRNA) molecules are approximately 80 nucleotides in length. Their secondary structure includes four short double-helical elements and three loops (D, anti-codon, and T loops). Further hydrogen bonds mediate the characteristic L-shaped molecular structure. tRNAs have two regions of fundamental functional importance: the anti-codon, which is responsible for specific mRNA codon recognition, and the 3' end, to which the tRNAs corresponding amino acid is attached (by aminoacyl-tRNA synthetases). tRNAs cope with the degeneracy of the genetic code in two manners: having more than one tRNA (with a specific anti-codon) for a particular amino acid; and 'wobble' base-pairing, i.e. permitting non-standard base-pairing at the 3rd anti-codon position. Lineage: Eukaryota; Metazoa; Chordata; Actinopteri; Clupeiformes; Clupeidae. The record is from RNAcentral.
GCUCCAGUGGCGCAAUCGGUUAGCGUACUUAUAAGACAGUUCCUGCAGAGCAAUGCCGAGGUUGUGAGUUCGAGCCUCACCUGGAGCA